CUAUAAUUUAUUGAUCAUCAUUAAUGGGGUUAAAACACGCAACAACGUCGAAUUCCGGCCCAAUCACCUAGAGGUUAAACGUUCGUCUCGGAUUCGAGUCCCGAGUGCAUGAUCAUGGAUACACA
Molecule: microRNA precursor, 125 nt
Filed under: Schistosoma mansoni
Lineage: Eukaryota; Metazoa; Platyhelminthes; Trematoda; Strigeidida; Schistosomatidae
Description: microRNA sma-mir-8448 precursor
Source: miRBase by way of RNAcentral